AGGUCGAUGCCCGAGUGGUUAAAGGGGGCGGAUUGUAAAUCCGCUGUGAUUGUACUACGUUGGUUCGAAUCCAACUCGACUUA
This 83-nucleotide transfer RNA is filed under the name Nitzschia sp. PL1-4. RNAcentral describes it as "tRNA-Tyr". It matches the Rfam family "tRNA". From Rfam's summary of the family: Transfer RNA (tRNA) molecules are approximately 80 nucleotides in length. Their secondary structure includes four short double-helical elements and three loops (D, anti-codon, and T loops). Further hydrogen bonds mediate the characteristic L-shaped molecular structure. tRNAs have two regions of fundamental functional importance: the anti-codon, which is responsible for specific mRNA codon recognition, and the 3' end, to which the tRNAs corresponding amino acid is attached (by aminoacyl-tRNA synthetases). tRNAs cope with the degeneracy of the genetic code in two manners: having more than one tRNA (with a specific anti-codon) for a particular amino acid; and 'wobble' base-pairing, i.e. permitting non-standard base-pairing at the 3rd anti-codon position. Lineage: Eukaryota; Bacillariophyta; Bacillariophyceae; Bacillariales; Bacillariaceae. The record is from RNAcentral.